This 440-nucleotide ribosomal RNA is filed under the name uncultured bacterium. Its description in RNAcentral is "bacterial SSU rRNA". It matches the Rfam family "Bacterial small subunit ribosomal RNA", at positions 339 to 796 of the family's 1533-position model. The record is from RNAcentral.
CUACGGGAGGCAGCAGUGGGGAAUCUUGCGCAAUGGGGGCAACCCUGACGCAGCCAUGCCGCGUGAAUGAUGAAGGCCUUAGGGUUGUAAAGUUCUUUUGCCCGUGACGAUGAUGACGGUAACGGGAGAAUAAGCUCCGGCUAACUUCGUGCCAGCAGCCGCGGUAAUACGAAGGGGGCUAGCGUUGUUCGGAAUUACUGGGCGUAAAGCGCGCGCAGGCGGUUUUGUAAGUUAGGGGUGAAAUCCCCGGGCUCAACCCGGGAAUGGCCUUUAAGACUGCAAGGCUAGAGGACGAGAGAGGUGAGUGGAAUUCCCAGUGUAGAGGUGAAAUUCGUAGAUAUUGGGAAGAACACCGGUGGCGAAGGCGGCUCACUGGCCCGAUACUGACGCUGAGGCGCGAAAGCGUGGGGAGCAAACAGGAUUAGAAACCCCGGUAGUCC